RNAcentral lists this ribosomal RNA (446 nucleotides) under uncultured bacterium. Its description in RNAcentral is "partial 16S ribosomal RNA". It matches the Rfam family "Bacterial small subunit ribosomal RNA", at positions 338 to 795 of the family's 1533-position model. The record is from RNAcentral.
CCUACGGGAGACAGCAGUCGAGAAUCAUUCACAAUGGGGGAAACCCUGAUGGUGCGACGCCGCGUGGGGGAAUGAAGGUCUUCGGAUUGUAAACCCCUGUCAUGUGGGAGCAAAUUAAAAAGAUAGUACCACAAGAGGAAGAGACGGCUAACUCUGUGCCAGCAGCCGCGGUAAUACAGAGGUCUCAAGCGUUGUUCGGAAUCACUGGGCGUAAGGCGUGCGUAGGCUGUUUCGUAAGUCGUGUGUGAAAGGCGCGGGCUCAACCCGCGGACGGCACAUGAUACUGCGAGACUAGAGUAAUGGAGGGGGAACCGGAAUUCUCGGUGUAGCAGUGAAAUGCGUAGAUAUCGAGAGGAACACUCGUGGCGAAGGCGGGUUCCUGGACAGUAACUGACGCUGAGGCACGAAGGCCAGGGGAGCGAAAGGGAUUAGAUACCCGUGUAGUC